GGAACUGUGGCAGAGGUGGUCCUACAUGCGCAAGCCUGAAGAGCUUGAGAUUCCGGUUCGAUUCCGGACGGUUCCACAA
Molecule: transfer RNA, 79 nt
Filed under: Hydrotalea sp. AMD
Lineage: Bacteria; Pseudomonadati; Bacteroidota; Chitinophagia; Chitinophagales; Chitinophagaceae
Description: tRNA-Phe
Rfam family: tRNA
About the family: Transfer RNA (tRNA) molecules are approximately 80 nucleotides in length. Their secondary structure includes four short double-helical elements and three loops (D, anti-codon, and T loops).
Source: RNAcentral